This 385-nucleotide ribosomal RNA is filed under the name uncultured bacterium. Its description in RNAcentral is "bacterial SSU rRNA". It matches the Rfam family "Bacterial small subunit ribosomal RNA", at positions 355 to 755 of the family's 1533-position model. The record is from RNAcentral.
UAGGGAAUUUUCCGCAAUGGGCGAAAGCCUGACGGAGCAAUACCGCGUGAGGGAUGACGGCCUGUGGGUUGUAAACCUCUUUUCUCAAGGAAGAAGUUCUGACGGUACUUGAGGAAUAAGCAUCGGCUAACUCUGUGCCAGCAGCCGCGGUAAUACAGAGGAUGCAAGCGUUAUCCGGAAUCACUGGGCAUAAAGCGUCUGUAGGUGGUUUGGUAAGUCUGCUGUUAAAGACUGGGGCUCAACCCCAGAAAAGCAGUGGAAACUGCCAGACUUGAGUGUGGUAGAGGUAGAGGGAAUUCCUAGUGUAGCGGUGAAAUGCGUAGAUAUUAGGAAGAACACCAAUGGCGAAGGCACUCUACUGGACCAUAACUGACACUGAGAGACG